RNAcentral lists this ribosomal RNA (326 nucleotides) under uncultured eukaryote. RNAcentral's name for it is "partial 18S ribosomal RNA". It matches the Rfam family "Eukaryotic small subunit ribosomal RNA", at positions 1470 to 1796 of the family's 1831-position model. The record is from RNAcentral.
CCCUUAGAUGUUCUGGGCUGCACGCGCGCUACACUGAUGCACUCAACGAGUUUACGACCUUGCCCGAUAGGGUUGGGUAAUCUUUUUAAAAUGCAUCGUGAUGGGGAUAGAUUAUUGCAAUUAUUAAUCUUCAACGAGGAAUUCCUAGUAAGCGCGAGUCAUCAGCUCGUGCUGAUUACGUCCCUGCCCUUUGUACUCACCGCCCGUCGCUCCUACCGAUUGAGUGCUCAGGUGAAUAAUUCGGACUGCAGCAAUGUUUGGAUCCCGAACGUUGCAGCGGAAAGUUUAGUGAACCUUAUCACUUAGAGGAAGGAGAAGUCGUAACA